Molecule: ribosomal RNA, 452 nt
Filed under: uncultured bacterium
Lineage: Bacteria
Description: bacterial SSU rRNA
Rfam family: Bacterial small subunit ribosomal RNA
Source: RNAcentral
AACGAACGCUGGCGGCAGGCCUAACACAUGCAAGUCGAACGCCGUAGCAAUACGGAGUGGCAGACGGGUGCGUAACACGUGGGAACAUACCCUUUGGUUCGGAAUAACUCAGGGAAACUUGAGCUAAUACCGGAUAAGCCCUUACGGGGAAAGAUUUAUCGCCAAAGGAUUGGCCCGCGUCUGAUUAGCUAGUUGGUGAGGUAACGGCUCACCAAGGCGACGAUCAGUAGCUGGUCUGAGAGGAUGAUCAGCCACACUGGGACUGAGACACGGCCCAGACUCCUACGGGAGGCAGCAGUGGGGAAUAUUGGGACAAUGGGCGCAAGCCUGAUCCAGCCAUGCCGCGUGAGUGAUGAAGGCCUUAGGGUUGUAAAGCUCUUUUACCCGGGAAGAUAAUGACGGUACCGGGAGAAUAAAGCCCCGGCUAACUUCGUGCCAGCAGCCGCAGUAAU